UAAAGUGAAUUAGAAGCUACAAUGUUGGAAAGCUAUACGACCUUCGAGCUUUCUAAAAAUACAACAAACAAACGUUAAAGCCUUCAAAAGACGAAUAAAAGGCUCAAUUGCUUCUAGUUCUCGUUUUACAGCAAAAGAAUGUGAAAACUGAUUAUCGAAUGAAGGCAAUUAAAUUACACACGUUCACGGGUGAUGAAACUUCAGCAGGCUAAAAGCACUAGCCAAAAUUCCUGGCUUUUACAAGCAAAGGAAUGAUUACUGUUGAAAAAUAAACCCAAUUUUUACAAAAAAACAGCAAUCAAGGAAUUGUGAAGUAGGGAUGGUAAAUAGGGAAAGCAAGGAGAAUUGCUGAUUUUAAAGACCGGAAGAGACAAGUGGUUGCUUGUU
Non-coding RNA from Schizosaccharomyces pombe (fission yeast), 387 nucleotides. The record is from the annotation of a GenBank genome assembly. NCBI's taxonomy places the organism in Eukaryota, Fungi, Ascomycota, Schizosaccharomycetes, Schizosaccharomycetales, Schizosaccharomycetaceae.